UAGCUCACUGGUCUAGAUAAGCCGGCCUGCGCCGAAGAUGUACCGGGGCUCAAGCCGCCCGCCGAAGCUGAGGAUUCAGUUGGUUCGCCAACUGUCUGGUAGCGGAGCGUUCCGUAAGCCUGUGAAGGGGUCCUGUGAGGGGUCCUGGAGGUAUCGGAAGUGAGAAUGCUGACAUGAGUAGCGACAAAGAGUGUGAGAAACACUCUCGCCGAAAGUCCAAGGGUU
RNAcentral lists this ribosomal RNA (225 nucleotides) under Alexandrium margalefii. RNAcentral's name for it is "partial Bacterial large subunit ribosomal RNA". It matches the Rfam family "Bacterial large subunit ribosomal RNA", at positions 1138 to 1353 of the family's 2925-position model. Lineage: Eukaryota; Dinophyceae; Gonyaulacales; Pyrocystaceae. The record is from RNAcentral.